AUGACCGCAUGGAUGCCGAAGAGCCCUGCUAAAACAAACCAUAUAAAGAAUAGAUGAAUUUUCAUUUGCAGAGGAUUAAGAGACACCCAUGAAACCAGAAGUGGAAGAGGUGAUUAAUCUGAUAUUUAGUUGAAGCAAAUGAAGAUGGUAAAGCAUGACCUAAUCUUGAGUUGUUGGGUUCACGUGGUCCUGGACCUAAAAAAAGACAUCGUCUCUGGCAAAGGACGGUGACCAAAAAUGUGAUAUGGGAGGAGGCAGAAGAUUAAUGUGCAAGAAUUUUGAACAAGAAGAAUGCGACAUGGUCAGCAAUUAAGAAGUUUUAAUAUUAUACUUUAUUUUUUUCUUUGCUGCAGUGUUUUCCUUUUGCUGAUAAAAAAUGAUUGGAUAGUUGCUUUGUUGAAGAAGUUUGGCAAGAAAACACGUUCAUUGUGAUAAUUAAUAUUAAUUUGUUAAAAUGAAAGAGCAGAUUUAUUUCUGUUUGUGAAAUAGAAUUUUGAGUUUGAUAUUAUUAUACGCGUUUUCUUUGUCGGCUUUUAAUUAUGUGUUUUUCUUUACAGUAGACUUUGAGAAGGUUGGAAAAGCUUAGAAAAUUCAAACCAGCGACUUGUCCGUUAUGAAACGGAUGGACGACGAAUUGACGAUUCCAAACAAAGGGUUUUGUUUCCACCACGCUAUAUCACUUUUGCAAUGAGCCAACCGCACAGUUUAAUGCCUUCCUUCCUCUAAUGACAGCAUCUCUACUGUGUCACUGCUACUCUUAAAUUGUUGAAUACGAAAUUAUUUAUUGUUUAUAUUUUUUCUUCACAAUUGGUUUUUCUUCAAUAAUUUACAGAAGAAAAACAAGGCUGUGAGGAUUUAAAUAUUUAUCUCUUCCAUC
This 877-nucleotide long non-coding RNA is filed under the name Ricinus communis (castor bean). RNAcentral's name for it is "long non-coding RNA (RCOM_LNC002585)". Lineage: Eukaryota; Viridiplantae; Streptophyta; Magnoliopsida; Malpighiales; Euphorbiaceae. The record is from RNAcentral.